Molecule: small RNA, 105 nt
Filed under: Salmonella enterica
Lineage: Bacteria; Pseudomonadati; Pseudomonadota; Gammaproteobacteria; Enterobacterales; Enterobacteriaceae
Also listed under: 1 other name
Description: partial RtT sRNA
Rfam family: RtT RNA
About the family: This family represents a bacterial cis-regulatory element known as RtT RNA. The exact function of RtT is unknown although it is thought that it may be involved in changing the cellular response in relation to amino acid starvation.
Source: RNAcentral
AAGCUUCGACCAAGGUUCGAUUCGAGCGCAGCGAGAAAGCGUUGCCACAGGCAACGACCCGAAGGGCGAAGCGCGCAGCGCUGAGUCAUCCUUCCCCCCUCAUCC